Long non-coding RNA from Callithrix jacchus (white-tufted-ear marmoset), 3803 nucleotides. Lineage: Eukaryota; Metazoa; Chordata; Mammalia; Primates; Cebidae. The record is from Ensembl.
AUGAUGCCCUACCACUGCUGCCAUUUUCCCACAAUCUGCACAGAUGGUGUUUUCAAACCCCAUCUGCUAUAUCUCCUUGUGACCAAGCAUAUCCUGAAAGAGGUGACUAGUCUUCCAUGGCAAAUCAAUUCCAGUAAUGAGCCUCUUGCUAAAGAAGCAUCCAGAGCCCUCGACCAGAAUCUUCAAACUUAAGAAGAGUGGAGGGAUCUUUUGCACUCUGCAACAGAAGUACGUGCCACUGAACUAUGAAGUACAGGGAUUUUAGGUCCUCUUGUGAGGAAAUGCCUUCCUAUUAGUGGUUCUGUUUUUGCCCUUGCUGUGGUUUUAUAUGCAAAGUAGCUAUUCAGCAGACAUAGCCAAAUACCUUAACUGUGCAUCAGUUAUUUUAUCGGAAACGCAGACCAAGAAAUUAUGAUAGAAAUACGGAAACAGACCAAAGUACAUGUGGUAAUUUAAUAUGAUAAAUAAUAAGAUCUCAAAUUAAGGGUUGAGGAAGAGAACAUUUUAAGGAAUUGUUUUAGGACAAAGACAUAGACAUUUGAGAAAAAAGACAAAUUUGGAUUUAUACCACACACAUUGUACCAUAUAUUGGAUAAAUGCAAAUUAAUCAGAAAUCUAAAUGUAAAAAUAAAACUAUACAAAAAUUGUAAAAAAAUAACUUAUUACUUUUACAAUGUUGAAGUGAGGAAACCUAAAUUUGAUCUAGAAGUAAUUAUAAGAAAAAUGAGUAUAUUAUACUAUAUAUUUUAUUUAUAUAUAUAUAUAUAUUUUUUUUUAAUUGCACUUUAGGUUCUGGGAUACAUGUGCAGAACAUGCAGGAUUGUUGCAUAGUUACAUACACAGCAAUGUGGUUUACUGCCUCCAUCCCCCCAUCAUCUAUAUCUUGCAUUUAUCCCCUUGUUAUCCCUCCCCAACCUUCCUUCCCCCUGCUGUCCCUCCCCUAUUCCUACCCAACAGACCCCAUUGUGUGAUGCCCUCCUCCCUGUGUUUUUAACUUUUCUUGUUAACCCUAAAACUGUAAAAAUCUUGAAAGACAACCUAGGUAAUAUCAUUCAAGAUGUAGGCACAGGCAAAGAUUUCAUACUGAAAAUGAAAAAAGCAAUUGCAACGAAAGCAAAGAUGACAAAUGAGAUCUAAUUAAACCCAACAGCUUAAAUAGCCUUUUUUUUUUUUUUUGAGAUGGAGUUUUGCUCUUGUUGCCCAGACUGGAGUGCAAUGGCACGAUCUCCACUCACCAUAACCUCUGCCUCCCAGGAUCAAGUGAUUCUCCUACCUCAGCCUCCUGAGUAGCUGGGAUAUGCCACUAUGCCCAGCUUAUUUUGUAUUUUUGGUAGUGACAGAGUUUCUCCAAUUUGUCAGGCUGGUCUCUCACUCCCAACUGCAGGUAAUUCAUCUGCCUUAGCCUCCCAAAGUGUUGGGAUUACAGGCUAGAGCCAUCACGCCCUGCCUAAACUAAACAGCUUCUGCAUAGCACAAGAAACUAUCAACAGAACAAACAGACAGUCUACGGGAUGGGAGGAAAUUUUUGCAAACUAUGCAUCUGACAAAAAUCUUAUCUUCAGCAGCUAUAAGGAACUUAAAUUUACAAGAAAAAGACAAUCUUAUUAAAAUGUGGGCAAAGGACUUGAACAGACACUUUUAAAAAGAAGUCAUGCAUGUAGCCGACAAUCAUAUAAAAAAAAAGCUUAACAUCACUGAUCAUUAGAGAAAUGCAGAUCAAAACUACAAUGAGAUACCAUCUCAUACCAAUCAGAAUGGCUAUAUUAAAAGGUCAAAAAAUAACAGAUGUUGGUGAGGCUGUGGAAAAAAAUAAAUGCGUAAACACUGUUGGUGGUAGUGUACAUUAGUUCAACCAUUGUUGAAGACAGUGUGGAGAUUCCUCAAAGAUCUAGAACCAGAAAUACUAUUUAACCCAGCAAUAUUGCUGGGUAUAUUCCCAAAGGAACAUAAAUCAUUCUGUUAUAAAGAUACUUGCAUGCAUAUGUUUAUUGUAGCACUAUUCACCAUGGAAAAGACAUGUAAUCAACCUAAAUGUCUCUCAAUGGUAGACUAGAUAAAGAAAAUGUGGUGCAUAUACAGCACAGAAUACUAUUCAGACAUAAAAAAGAACAAGAUUAUGCCCUUUGCAGGGACAUGGAUGGAGCUGAAGGUCAUUGUGCUUAGCAAACUAAUUCAGGAACAGAAAACCAAAUACCACAUGUUCUUACUUAUAAGUGGGAGCUAAAUGAUGUAAACUUGUGGACAUAAGAGGGAAAUAACUUACACUGAGGCCUUUUGGAGGGUGGAGGGUGGGAGGAGGGAGAGUAUCAGAAAAAAUGACAAAUGAGUACUAGGCUUAAUACCUGGGAGAUGAAAUAAUCUGCACAACAAACCCCUAUGACACAAGUUUACCUGUGUAACAAACCUGCACACAUAACCUUGAACUUAAAAGUUAAAAAAAUUGGGCAAAGGACAUGAAUAGACAUUUCUCAAAAAAAGACAUACAAACUGCCAACAAACAUGAAAAAGUGCUCAUCAUUACUAAUCGUCAGAGAAAUGCCCAUCAAAACCACAAUGAGAUGCCAUCUCACACAAGAUGGACUAGCAAUUAUUAAAAAGUCAAAAAAAUAGAUGCUCGUGAAGUUGCAAAGAAAAGGGAACUCUUUUACACUAUUGGUAGGAAUGUAAAUUAGUUCAACUACUAUGGAAAAACAGUUUGGAGAUUUCACAAAGAACUUAAGACAAAGCUACCAUUUACCCAGCAAUCCCAUUAUUUGGCAUAUAUACCCAAUGGGAAAUAAAUCAUUCCACCAAAAAGACACAUGUAUCUGUAUGUUCAUCACCAUGCUAUUCAUAAUAGCAAAGGCAUGAAAUCAACCUAGGUGCCCAUCACUGGUAGAUUGGAUAAAGAACAUGUGGUAGAUAUCCAUCAUGGAAUAAAAUACAGCCAUAAAAAUGGAAAAAAUUCUAUCUCUUGUUACUAUAUGGAUACAGUUGCAGAUACAAGAACAGAAAACCAAAUAUUUCAUUUUCUCACUUAUAAGUGGGAGCCACACAUUGAGCACCCAUGGACAUAAAUGUGGAAGGAAUAGAUACUGCAGACUACUAGAAGGGGGAAUGGGAGGAUAAGAUGAAAAACUACCUAUUGGGUAUUAUGCUCACUCCCUAGUUGUCAAGAUUAUCCAUAUGUCACACUUCAGCAUUAUGCAAUACACUCAUAUAACCAACCUGCACAUGUACCCCCUGUAUCUAAAAUAAAAGUUUGAAAAAGAAGAACCACAGAUGGCCUCAUCACAUUGACCAAUCUCCCCCUCACAUCCUCCAGCUCUUUUCACUUGCUCACUCAGUGCUCAGACUUCCCGUUUUUGUUUGAGGGGAGUUGAAUUGAAUAUCCGUAUUGCAAUAGUGGUGAAUAAAGUUUUACUUUCCUGUUUAAUCCUGUCUGGUGCAAUUUUUCUUUGACAAUAAAUACCAUCUUGCUAAGACCAGAUCAUUCAUGACUGAGACUUAAAAUCCAAGCCUCCAGGAAAGAAAAAUUAAGAGCUCGCUGUCUUGUUUCAACACCACCUGUGACAUUUUUAUAGCCAGACUGGGCACUUAUUCAAUGAUGAGGACCUACUUUAACAAUUGUCUUUAGGAAUAGAAAUACAUUUAGGAAGACAUCACGGCUUGCUAAUAGAUCUUCCUCAUCUAUGCUUUUAUCAGUCAGCAUUUUCAGUUUUUCAGUUGUGUCAUGUGGGAAAAAUAAAUUGCCAGCCUUCUGCAUAUGAUCAUAUACCUCCUGGCCACCUCCAUAAGAGCCCAGUAAAAUCCAUUCUCUAUGU